This 110-nucleotide small nucleolar RNA is filed under the name Monopterus albus (swamp eel). RNAcentral's name for it is "Small nucleolar RNA SNORA32 (ENSMALG00000009056.1)". Lineage: Eukaryota; Metazoa; Chordata; Actinopteri; Synbranchiformes; Synbranchidae. The record is from RNAcentral.
UGGUCAUAUACCAAGGCUUUCAGGACUCGCCGUUCCUGACUUGCUGUGGAGUUGACCAGAAAACAAAGCUCAUCCCGGUGGGCUUCUGCAGCAUCCUGCUGAGAAGAACU